GAGCACUGGCCUCCGGAGCCAGGUGCACAGGUUCGAUUCCUGUCGGGCGCACCA
Molecule: transfer RNA, 54 nt
Filed under: Bacillota bacterium
Lineage: Bacteria; Bacillati; Bacillota
Description: tRNA-Ser
Rfam family: tRNA
About the family: Transfer RNA (tRNA) molecules are approximately 80 nucleotides in length. Their secondary structure includes four short double-helical elements and three loops (D, anti-codon, and T loops). Further hydrogen bonds mediate the characteristic L-shaped molecular structure. tRNAs have two regions of fundamental functional importance: the anti-codon, which is responsible for specific mRNA codon recognition, and the 3' end, to which the tRNAs corresponding amino acid is attached (by aminoacyl-tRNA synthetases). tRNAs cope with the degeneracy of the genetic code in two manners: having more than one tRNA (with a specific anti-codon) for a particular amino acid; and 'wobble' base-pairing, i.e. permitting non-standard base-pairing at the 3rd anti-codon position.
Source: RNAcentral